RNAcentral lists this transfer RNA (76 nucleotides) under Clostridia bacterium. Its description in RNAcentral is "tRNA-Arg". It matches the Rfam family "tRNA". From Rfam's summary of the family: Transfer RNA (tRNA) molecules are approximately 80 nucleotides in length. Their secondary structure includes four short double-helical elements and three loops (D, anti-codon, and T loops). The record is from RNAcentral. Lineage: Bacteria; Bacillati; Bacillota; Clostridia.
GCACCCGUAGUUCAACUGGAUAAAAUAGGGGCCUCCGACGCCCCCGUUAUGGGUUCAAAUCCCAUCGGGUGUACCA